This 253-nucleotide ribosomal RNA is filed under the name uncultured bacterium. Its description in RNAcentral is "partial 16S ribosomal RNA". It matches the Rfam family "Bacterial small subunit ribosomal RNA", at positions 524 to 776 of the family's 1533-position model. The record is from RNAcentral.
UACAGAGGGUGCAAGCGUUGUUCGGGAUUAUUGGGCGUAAAGGGAGUGUAGGCGGCUUGUUAAGUCUUCUGUGAAAUCUACGGGCUCAGCCUGUAACGUGCAGAGGAAACUGGCGAGCUUGAGUGUCGGAGAGGAUAGGGGAAUACCCGGUGUAGAGGUGAAAUGCGUAGAGGUCCGGAGGAACACCAGUGGCGAAGGCGACACGCUGGGCCGUACCUGACGCUAAAGCGCGACAGCAUGGGGAGCAAACGGG